AACAAGCAAUCCUGUUGGGGAUCUGGCUCUCGAGAUUCGGAGAACGAUGCCUCUUCGAUUUUUGAGAAAGCAAUCCUGCUGGGGGUCUGGCUCUCGAGAUUCGGAGAGCGAUGUCUCUUCGAUUUUUGAGAAAGUAAUCAUGUUGGGAGUCUGGCUCUCAAGAUUCGGAGGGCGGUGCCUCUUCGAUUUUGGAGCAAGCAAUCUUGUUGGGAGUGUUUUCUCGAAUGUGAGUAAAGGUUGGGCAUGUUUGCUAGUCUACCUUGCCACGAAGCACAGAGGUUGACACACAGGGACUUUCCAAUUAUCCAGCAGUGGUACUGUUCCUUUACCCUAUUUUCGAUUUUUGAGAAAGUAAUCAUGUUGGGAGUCUGGCUCUCGAGAUUUGGAGGGCGGUGCCUCUUCGAUUUUGGAGCAAGCAAUCCUGUUGGGAGUGUUUUCUCGAAUGUGAGUAAAGGUUGGGCAUGUUUACUAGUCUACCUUGCCACGAAGCACAGAGGUUGACACACCGGGACUUUCCAAUUAUCCAGCAGUGGUACUGUUCCUUUACCCUUGUGGGUAAUAAUAUGGUAGCUAGACCUUCAAAAUUUAUGUGUCUAAACUUUGUUAGUGUUGUUUCUUUGCAAUUCUUUUACCCUUCUUGGUCAGAGCGAUGUAGCGGGAGCUGCAAGCUUCACGUGUCUCAACUUUGUCAGAGAAC
RNAcentral lists this long non-coding RNA (697 nucleotides) under Malus domestica (apple). RNAcentral describes it as "long non-coding RNA (MDOM_LNC006711)". The record is from RNAcentral. Lineage: Eukaryota; Viridiplantae; Streptophyta; Magnoliopsida; Rosales; Rosaceae.